This 1540-nucleotide ribosomal RNA is filed under the name Staphylococcus aureus M0041. Its description in RNAcentral is "16S ribosomal RNA". It matches the Rfam family "Bacterial small subunit ribosomal RNA". The record is from RNAcentral. RNAcentral also lists the same sequence under 3 other names. Lineage: Bacteria; Bacillati; Bacillota; Bacilli; Caryophanales; Staphylococcaceae.
AGAGUUUGAUCCUGGCUCAGGAUGAACGCUGGCGGCGUGCCUAAUACAUGCAAGUCGAGCGAACGGACGAGAAGCUUGCUUCUCUGAUGUUAGCGGCGGACGGGUGAGUAACACGUGGAUAACCUACCUAUAAGACUGGGAUAACUUCGGGAAACCGGAGCUAAUACCGGAUAAUAUUUUGAACCGCAUGGUUCAAAAGUGAAAGACGGUCUUGCUGUCACUUAUAGAUGGAUCCGCGCUGCAUUAGCUAGUUGGUAAGGUAACGGCUUACCAAGGCAACGAUGCAUAGCCGACCUGAGAGGGUGAUCGGCCACACUGGAACUGAGACACGGUCCAGACUCCUACGGGAGGCAGCAGUAGGGAAUCUUCCGCAAUGGGCGAAAGCCUGACGGAGCAACGCCGCGUGAGUGAUGAAGGUCUUCGGAUCGUAAAACUCUGUUAUUAGGGAAGAACAUAUGUGUAAGUAACUGUGCACAUCUUGACGGUACCUAAUCAGAAAGCCACGGCUAACUACGUGCCAGCAGCCGCGGUAAUACGUAGGUGGCAAGCGUUAUCCGGAAUUAUUGGGCGUAAAGCGCGCGUAGGCGGUUUUUUAAGUCUGAUGUGAAAGCCCACGGCUCAACCGUGGAGGGUCAUUGGAAACUGGAAAACUUGAGUGCAGAAGAGGAAAGUGGAAUUCCAUGUGUAGCGGUGAAAUGCGCAGAGAUAUGGAGGAACACCAGUGGCGAAGGCGACUUUCUGGUCUGUAACUGACGCUGAUGUGCGAAAGCGUGGGGAUCAAACAGGAUUAGAUACCCUGGUAGUCCACGCCGUAAACGAUGAGUGCUAAGUGUUAGGGGGUUUCCGCCCCUUAGUGCUGCAGCUAACGCAUUAAGCACUCCGCCUGGGGAGUACGACCGCAAGGUUGAAACUCAAAGGAAUUGACGGGGACCCGCACAAGCGGUGGAGCAUGUGGUUUAAUUCGAAGCAACGCGAAGAACCUUACCAAAUCUUGACAUCCUUUGACAACUCUAGAGAUAGAGCCUUCCCCUUCGGGGGACAAAGUGACAGGUGGUGCAUGGUUGUCGUCAGAUCGUGUCGUGAGAUGUUGGGUUAAGUCCCGCAACGAGCGCAACCCUUAAGCUUAGUUGCCAUCAUUAAGUUGGGCACUCUAAGUUGACUGCCGGUGACAAACCGGAGGAAGGUGGGGAUGACGUCAAAUCAUCAUGCCCCUUAUGAUUUGGGCUACACACGUGCUACAAUGGACAAUACAAAGGGCAGCGAAACCGCGAGGUCAAGCAAAUCCCAUAAAGUUGUUCUCAGUUCGGAUUGUAGUCUGCAACUCGACUACAUGAAGCUGGAAUCGCUAGUAAUCGUAGAUCAGCAUGCUACGGUGAAUACGUUCCCGGGUCUUGUACACACCGCCCGUCACACCACGAGAGUUUGUAACACCCGAAGCCGGUGGAGUAACCUUUUAGGAGCUAGCCGUCGAAGGUGGGACAAAUGAUUGGGGUGAAGUCGUAACAAGGUAGCCGUAUCGGAAGGUGCGGCUGGAUCACCU